CGGGGGGGGCAAGCGUUGUUCGGAUUUACUGGGCGUAAAGGGCGCGUAGGCGGCCACCGCAAGUCGACUGUGAAAUCUCCGGGCUUAACCCGGAAAGGUCAGCCGAUACUGCGGGGCUAGAGUGCAGAAGGGGCAACUGGAAUUCUCGGUGUAGCGGUGAAAUGCGUAGAUAUCGAGAGGAACACCUGCGGCGAAGGCGGGUUGCUGGGCUGACACUGACGCUGAGGCGCGAAAGCUAGGGGAGCGAACGGGAUUAGAUACCCCGGUAGUCCUAGCCUUAAACGAUGAAUGCUUGGUGUCUGGGGUUUUAUAGUCCCCGGGUGCCGUCGCUAACGCUUUAAGCAUUCCGCCUGGGGAGUACGGUCGCAAGACUG
This 374-nucleotide ribosomal RNA is filed under the name uncultured organism. RNAcentral describes it as "bacterial SSU rRNA". It matches the Rfam family "Bacterial small subunit ribosomal RNA", at positions 526 to 896 of the family's 1533-position model. The record is from RNAcentral.